RNAcentral lists this long non-coding RNA (1309 nucleotides) under Ricinus communis (castor bean). RNAcentral's name for it is "long non-coding RNA (RCOM_LNC003078)". Lineage: Eukaryota; Viridiplantae; Streptophyta; Magnoliopsida; Malpighiales; Euphorbiaceae. The record is from RNAcentral.
GACAGUGUGACAAAAUUCUUUAUAUGGAAAAGCACAGUGUGGCAAUUUCGUAAGUUCAAAGAAUUUUUAUUUUUUCUUAAAAGUUAUUAUAAAGAGAUUCAAAGAAAAUUUAAUUCCAAAGGGAAGUGAUUAAAUAAGAGUCGCAGGCUAUGCGGGUAUAAGAAGAAAGAUAUGAGGUCCCAUUCUUUUCAAUUUUAAGCCUUUCUUUAGAUUCAUCUCUCUCUCUCUCUCUCUCUACAAGUAAAAAUCCUUUCUCUCAUUCUCUUUUUUUUUCUCCAGAGAAUUCUUUCCUCUUCAUUCUUCAUAGGUAAUUCAAGUUUUUUUCCUUAUGUUUUCCUUUUAGGCUUUGCUUAUUUCUCUUUGAAAAAUAUCUUUGCCAGAUUUGCAUGGUUCCAGUUUCAGUUUGUAUGUAAAGAAUGAAAUAAUAUCCUUUGGCUUUUGUUUUUAGUUAUAAUUGGGUUCUAAAUCUCUAAUCUGUUCUUUUCUUUAUAUGAAUGCAACUCAUUUCUGUAAAUACCCUUCAAGAUUUUUCUUUCUUGAUGUUAUUUAUGUUUGCCUUCCAUUCCAGUUAUUCGUUGUUGCUGACAUGUUUUGUGUAAAUAUAAUUGCUACACAUAUGUUUCUUUCUUUUGGGUAACUGGUAGUGGAGUUUUACUCUUUUCCUUUUGGUUAUUCUUUUCUGCUAUUAUGGAUAUUCAAGAACAAUUUUCUAUUCUCUGCUUGUGCAGCUCAGAGAAAAAAUUUCAAUCAUGGAUUGAAAUUUUCUUUCCUAAUAACAAAUAAGGGCGUACUAUCAACAAAAUAUCAUGUGCUGCUUGAUCUUUUUUGGUAUUCUAAUUUGCAUGUAAAAUUUCCUUGUCUGUAUAAAAUUGUCUAGUUUUCACAGCAUAAUCUUGCUGAUUUCUCGUCGUAUGCUGUUUCUCCUUGGUUAUUAUAUUUUCUGAAUAGUCCAGUGUUAAGAAAACUAACUUUGAAAUUCCAAAUUGCGGUAAAUUUGGUUGCCUUUGUGGAAGAGUGCUGUUUGUAUCUUAGCCCUGUUGCCUUAUUUAUUUUGAUAUGAUUUUUCUGCUUUCCUUUCCUUUUAAUUCCUGUAAUCAAUGAGAAUGAGUUGUAUGGAUGUGGAGUUUCGCUUCUCCAAAAAUGUUUUUAUCUGGGAUUUUGGACUUCCUAUAAUCUUAACCUUUUCCUCUUUCUUUCAGGUGAAAAUCAUUUGCUGAUCUUCUUUGUCUAAUCACCUAUCUACUGAAGUUUCAAAGUUACAAUCUUUUCCAUCUUCAUAAAUAUUCUCUAGUGAAAGACAAAACANNNN